GAUGAACGCUAGCGGCAGGCCUAAUACAUGCAAGCCGAACGGCAAGUCUUUUAGCAAUAGAAGACCUAGAGUGGCGUAAGGGUGCGUAACACGUAUGCAAUCUGCCCUCAACAGGAGGAUAGCUCCCCGAAAGGGGAAUUAAGCCUCCAUAGGAUCGUAAUGUGGCAUCACAUAGCGAUUAAACUACCAGGGGUUGAGGAUGAGCAUGCGCAUGAUUAGUUAGUUGGCGGGGUAACGGCCCACCAAGACGAUGAUCAUUAGGGGAACUGAGAGGUUGAUCCCCCACACUGGCACUGAGAUACGGGCCAGACUUCCUACGGGAGGCAGCAGUAGGGAAUAUUGGGACAAAUGGGGUGGCAAGCCUGAUCCAGCCAUGCCGCGUGCAGGAAG
This 390-nucleotide ribosomal RNA is filed under the name uncultured bacterium. Its description in RNAcentral is "bacterial SSU rRNA". It matches the Rfam family "Bacterial small subunit ribosomal RNA", at positions 28 to 410 of the family's 1533-position model. The record is from RNAcentral.